GACGAACGCUGGCGGCGUGCCUAAUACAUGCAAGUUGAGCGAUGAAGCUUGGUGCUUGCACCAAUUUGAAGAGCAGCGGACGGGUGAGUAACGCGUGGGGAAUCUGCCUUUGAGCGGGGGACAACAUUUGGAAACGAAUGCUAAUACCGCAUAAUAACUUUAAACAUAAGUUUUAAGUUUGAAAGAUGCAAUUGCAUCACUCAAAGAUGAUCCCGCGUUGUAUUAGCUAGUUGGUGAGGUAAAGGCUCACCAAGGCGAUGAUACAUAGCCGACCUGAGAGGGGGAUCGGCCACAUUGGGACUGAGACACGGCCCAAACUCCUACGGGAGGCAGCAGGAGGGAAUCUUCGGCAAUGGACGAAAGUCUGACCGAGCAACGCCGCGUGAGUGAAGAAGGUUUUCGGAUCGUAAAACUCUGUUGGUAGAGAAGAACGUUGGUGAGAGUGGAAAGCUCAUCAAGUGACGGUAACUACCCAGAAAGGGACGGCUAACUACGUG
This 497-nucleotide ribosomal RNA is filed under the name uncultured bacterium. RNAcentral's name for it is "partial 16S ribosomal RNA". It matches the Rfam family "Bacterial small subunit ribosomal RNA", at positions 28 to 507 of the family's 1533-position model. The record is from RNAcentral.